Molecule: ribosomal RNA, 709 nt
Filed under: uncultured organism
Description: bacterial SSU rRNA
Rfam family: Bacterial small subunit ribosomal RNA
Source: RNAcentral
GGGAUUAGAUACCCCGGUAGUCCUUGCUGUAAACGAUGGGCACUUAGAUGUUUCCGCGUCUCAGCGGGAUUGUCGAAGGUUACGCGAUAAGUGCCCCGCCUGGGGAUUACGUUCGCAAGCCUGAUACUCAAAGGAAUUGACGGGGGCCCGCACAAGCGGUGGAGCAUGUGGUUUAAUUCGACGCAACGCGAAGAACCUUACCUGGGCUUGAACUGCUGGGUUUAGCUUCCUGAAAGGGAAGUGAACCUGCUUGCAGGAGACCAGCAGAGGUGCUGCAUGGCUGUCGUCAGCUCGUGUCGUGAGAUGUUGGGUUAAGUCCCGCAACGAGCGCAACCCUUGCCUUUAGUUGCCAGCGAGUCAUGUCGGGUACUCUAAGGGGACUGCCACGGAUAACGUGGAGGAAGGUGGGGAUGACGUCAAGUCAGCAUGGCCUUUAUGUCCAGGGCGACACACGUGCUACAAUGGGCGGCACAAAGGGACGCGAAACCGCAAGGUGGAGCUAAUCUUCAAAGCUGCUCUCAGUUCGGAUCGCAGGCUGCAAUUCGCCUGCGUGAAGUUGGAAUCGCUAGUAAUCGCGGAUCAGCCUCGCCGCGGUGAUACGUUCUCGGGCCUUGUACACACCGCCCGUCACAUCACGAAAGUUGGUUAUACCCGAAGUCGCCGGGCUAACCUUUGGAGGCAGGCGCCGAAGGUAUGAUCGAUGAUUGGG